RNAcentral lists this ribosomal RNA (499 nucleotides) under uncultured bacterium. RNAcentral's name for it is "partial 16S ribosomal RNA". It matches the Rfam family "Bacterial small subunit ribosomal RNA", at positions 28 to 507 of the family's 1533-position model. The record is from RNAcentral.
GAUGAACGCUGGCGGCGUGCCUAAUACAUGCAAGUCGAGCGAACAGACGAGAGUGCUUGCACUCUCUGACGUUAGCGGCGGACGGGUGAGUAACACGUGGGUAACCUACCUAUAAGACUGGGAUAACUUCGGGAAACCGGAGCUAAUACCGGAUAAUAUUUAGCUUCGCAUGAAGCAAUAGUGAAAGACGGUUCUGCUGUCACUUAUAGAUGGACCCGCGGUGUAUUAGCUAGUUGGUGAGGUAACGGCUCACCAAGGCAACGAUACAUAGCCGACCUGAGAGGGUGAUCGGCCACACUAGGACUGAGACACGGCCCAGACUCCUACGGGAGGCAGCAGUAGGGAAUCUUCCGCAAUGGACGAAAGUCUGACGGAGCAAUGCCGCGUGAGUGAAGAAGGUUUUCGGAUCGUAAAACUCUGUUGUAAGGGAAGAACAAGUACGUUAGUAACUGAACGUACCUUGACGGUACCUGACCAGAAAGCCACGGCUAACUACGUG